This 392-nucleotide ribosomal RNA is filed under the name uncultured Pseudomonadota bacterium. Its description in RNAcentral is "bacterial SSU rRNA". It matches the Rfam family "Bacterial small subunit ribosomal RNA", at positions 55 to 492 of the family's 1533-position model. Lineage: Bacteria; Pseudomonadati; Pseudomonadota. The record is from RNAcentral.
AUGCAAGUCGAACGAAGUAGCAAUACUUAGUGGCAGACGGGUGAGUAACAUGUAGGUAUCUACCCUGUGGCCUGGAAUAACACGAGGAAACUUGUGCUAAUACUGGAUAAGUCUUUACGGAGAAAGCUUUAUGCACCAUUGGAUGAGCCUGCACUUGAUUAGUUUGUUGGUAGGGUAAUGGCCUACCAAGACUGUGAUCAAUAGCUGAUUUGAGAGGAUGAUCAGCCACAUUGGGACUGAGACACGGCCCAAACUCCUACGGGAGGCAGCAGUGGGGAAUCUUGCACAAUGGAGGAAACUCUGAUGCAGCGAUGCCGCGUGAGUGAAGAAGGCCUUUGGGUUGUAAAGCUCUUUCGUCGGGGAAGAAAAUGACUGUACCCGAAUAAGAAGGU